AGGGUUUCAAGUUUGGUUUCAAAGUGGGUGGUGGCUUAACCCCUACUGCAUAUUUUCAAGAAAUCUAGGAGAGAAAUAACGAAUCAUUUUCAUGAUAAUGUCAGCUGUGCUGUCAGCUGUUCCAUUUUGCAUGGCGUCGGACCUGAGGAUGGUAGCUCAAAUUAACGUCUCCCUUCUUAAAAUUUCACCGUCGAUUUCGUGUGUUUGACCUGGAUCUUGAGAAUGAAACCCAUGCUAAGUUGUGAAAGGAGCAUGGUUUGACUUCACCAGCAUGUUUUUCAUCUCCGUUAGGCAAAUACACCCAUCUUGGUACCAAAAGUGCUACAUAAAGAAAGUAGUUCUUUAAAAUGUUUUUGCAGGUCUUUUGGAUGUACCUGAUAUGCUGUGGUGGCCGCAGAAUCAUUCUUUGACAGAAAGGAAUGCCAUCAAUGUUUUGUUUUCAAUGUAAUAAAAUAAUUCCAAUAUCAUUCUUGCUUUAGUGAAUUAUAAGCUAACAUGCAAGAAAAAAGAGAAGUUCAAGAUGGUCUUAUUCUUUACACUUCUUACUGAUCAGUCAAGUUAAUUACAUUGUGAAAGUCAUUGAAAAACUUGAAUAUACAAGAAUUGCCAACUUUGA
Molecule: long non-coding RNA, 616 nt
Organism: Daphnia magna
Lineage: Eukaryota; Metazoa; Arthropoda; Branchiopoda; Diplostraca; Daphniidae
Exons: 3
Source: RefSeq, a predicted model, not a curated record